RNAcentral lists this ribosomal RNA (262 nucleotides) under uncultured bacterium. RNAcentral describes it as "partial 16S ribosomal RNA". It matches the Rfam family "Bacterial small subunit ribosomal RNA", at positions 1239 to 1500 of the family's 1533-position model. The record is from RNAcentral.
CGAAAGAGAAGCGAAGCGGUGACGUGGAGCAAACCUCAGAAAGCCAAUCUCAGUUCGGAUUGUAGGCUGCAACUCGCCUACAUGAAGUUGGAAUCGCUAGUAAUCGCGAAUCAGAAUGUCGCGGUGAAUACGUUCCCGGGUCUUGUACACACCGCCCGUCACACCACGAGAGUUUACAACACCCGAAGUCAGUGGCCUAACCGCAAGGAGGGAGCUGCCUAAGGUGGGGUAGAUGAUUGGGGUGAAGUCGUAACAAGGUAGC